CCCUUAGAUGUUCUGGGCCGCACGCGUGCUACACUGAGUGGAUCAGCGGGCCAGGUUGCGCGAAAGCGUUUCCUAAUCUUGAAAUCCGCUCGUGAUGGGGAUUGACGGUUGCAAUUUUCUGUCAUGAACGAGGAAUACCUUGUAAGCGCGAGUCAUCAUCCCGCGCUGAAUACGUCCCUGCCCUUUGUACACACCGCCCGUCGCUCCUACCGAUUGAGUGGUCCGGUGAGGCUUUGGGAUCUGAGCGGAAAGAGCGUUUCGCUCGUUCUGCCCGGAAAACUCAGUCGAACCUUAUCAUUUAGAGGAAGGAGAAGUCGUAACA
This 322-nucleotide ribosomal RNA is filed under the name uncultured eukaryote. RNAcentral describes it as "partial 18S ribosomal RNA". It matches the Rfam family "Eukaryotic small subunit ribosomal RNA", at positions 1470 to 1796 of the family's 1831-position model. The record is from RNAcentral.